UUGACCUCGGAUCAGGUAGGGAUACCCGCUGAACUUAAGCAUAUCAAUAAGCGGAGGAAAAGAAACCAACAGGGAUUGCCUCA
Molecule: ribosomal RNA, 83 nt
Filed under: Anaptychia palmatula
Lineage: Eukaryota; Fungi; Ascomycota; Lecanoromycetes; Caliciales; Physciaceae
Description: partial 28S ribosomal RNA
Rfam family: Eukaryotic large subunit ribosomal RNA
Source: RNAcentral